This 75-nucleotide transfer RNA is filed under the name Alphaproteobacteria bacterium. RNAcentral's name for it is "tRNA-Val". It matches the Rfam family "tRNA". Rfam says of the family: Transfer RNA (tRNA) molecules are approximately 80 nucleotides in length. Their secondary structure includes four short double-helical elements and three loops (D, anti-codon, and T loops). The record is from RNAcentral. RNAcentral also lists the same sequence under 2 other names. Lineage: Bacteria; Pseudomonadati; Pseudomonadota; Alphaproteobacteria.
GGAGCGUUAGCUCAGCGGGAGAGCACCACGUUGACAUCGUGGGGGUCACAAGUUCAAUCCUUGUACGCUCCACCA